UGGGGAAUAUUGCACAAUGGGCGAAAGCCUGAUGCAGCAACGCCGCGCGAGUGAUGAAGGUCUUCGGAUUGUAAAGCUCUGUCUUUUGGGACGAUAAUGACGGUACCAAAGGAGGAAGCCACGGCUAACUACGUGCCAGCAGCCGCGGUAAUACGUAGGUGGCGAGCGUUGUCCGGAUUUACUGGGCGUAAAGGGUGCGUAGGCGGAUGUUUAAGUGAGAUGUGAAAUACCCGGGCUUAACUUGGGUGCUGCAUUUCAAACUGGAUAUCUAGAGUGCAGGAGAGGAGAAUGGAAUUCCUAGUGUAGCGGUGAAAUGCGUAGAGAUUAGGAAGAACACCAGUGGCGAAGGCGAUUCUCUGGACUGUAACUGACGCUGAGGCACGAAAGCGUGGGUAGCAAACAGGAUUAGAUACCCUGGUAGUCCACGCCGUAAACGAUGAGUACUAGGUGUAGGAGGUAUCGACCCCUUCUGUGCCGCAGUAAACACAUUAAGUACUCCGCCUGGGAAGUACGAUCGCAAGAUUAAAACUCUAAAGUGAAUUGAC
Molecule: ribosomal RNA, 545 nt
Filed under: uncultured bacterium
Lineage: Bacteria
Description: partial 16S ribosomal RNA
Rfam family: Bacterial small subunit ribosomal RNA
Source: RNAcentral